UAACGGAGUAUUUGAUUGUGCUGUCUGAGCUGGCCAUGUGUCAGAUUUAGUAAAGUAAAAACUUUCAACAACGGAUCUCUUGGCUCUCGCAUCGAUGAAGAACGCAGCGAAAUGCGAUAGGUAAUGUGAAUUGCAGAAUUCAGUGAAUCAUCGAAUCUUUGAACGCACAUUGCGCCCUUUGGUAUUCCUUAGGGCAUGCCUGUUCGAGCGUCACUACACACCUUAUCACAAAGUUUGUGGUCUUGGCAGGAGUGAAUUGCUAGUCUAUCAAAAUGUUCCAGCUGUACACUCUGCUAAAAAUUAUGAGAAGGUUACCAGGCAUGAACGACGGACUUUAUAAACGGUUAUAAGACCUGGAUCAGUCACAAGUCUUGUCUGGUCCUUACCUUAAGGACCCCCAUCCUAGAUGAACUAUGGGUUGACCUCGAAUCAGGGAGGGAUACCCGCUGAACUUAAGCAUAUCAAUAAGCGGAGGAAAAGAAACCAACAGGGAUUGCCCUAGUAACGGCGAGUGAAGCGGCAAAAGCUCAAAUUUGAAAUCUGGCACCUUUGGUGUCCGAAUUGUAAUUUGGAGAGGCAACUUCGGGUAGGACCCAGUCUAUGUUCCUUGGAACAGGACGUCAUAGAGGGUGAGAAUCCCGUUCAUGACUGGAUGUUCCUACUAGUACGUAGUGCCUUCUACGAGUCGAGUUGUUUGGGAAUGCAGCUCAAAAUGGGUGGUAAAUUUCAUCUAAAGCUAAAUAUUGGCGAGAGACCGAUAGCGCACAAGUAGAGUGAUCGAAAGAUGAAAAGCACUUUGAAAAUAGAGUCAAAAAGUACGUGAAAUUGUUGAAAGGGAAGCGCUUGAGACCAGACUCAGCCUUUGGUAAACAAGUGUCCUUCUGG
Molecule: ribosomal RNA, 885 nt
Filed under: Tuber melanosporum (Perigord truffle)
Lineage: Eukaryota; Fungi; Ascomycota; Pezizomycetes; Pezizales; Tuberaceae
Description: eukaryotic LSU rRNA
Rfam family: Eukaryotic large subunit ribosomal RNA (bases 420-885)
Source: RNAcentral